AUGUGCAUGAAUUCAAAAUAUGAAGGAUGGAAGAAUUUGGAUGAGGUUAGAAGGAGCACAGCAGAAUCUGUGUGCACUACAAGAAAAAUGGCACUUAUCGACGGAAUUCUUCCCACAGAAUCAUUUCUGUCGGAAAAGUAUUAGUUUCCAACGGAAAUUUUUGGCAAAUAAUAUUCCGUCGAAAAUGUUUAUGUUAUUGACGGAAUUUUCCGACAAAAAGCAUUCCUUUGGAAAACCUUUGUUAUCAAUGGAUUGUGGCCCAUGGAUUUGGGUUUGUCGAAAAUAAUUCCCAAGAUAAGGAAGCAACCCUAAUGCCGUCCCUUUUUUCACUUCACAUUGACUCUAAUCUCACUCACUCUUCAACGCCCCGAGUCCGCAUCCCCCCGCUGUUGCAGCCACCAGGUCGUUGUCGCACACGCCGCACCACCUUCGCGUUAGCUGCUGCAAAGUUGCUUUCGUGGCUGUCGUCACCUAAAAUACAGGCAUUGUUUUCCACGGAUACACUUCAGAUCAAAGGAGGACAGCCUCCCUUCCCGCGACUGCUCAAGGUUUACCAAUCUAGGGUUUUUCUCUUUCUUCCCUAAUGGCGGCAUGCCCAGAUGGCAGCACCAACGACUUAGCCACCACAGGUUUCUCCAACUCGCUUCAAGUCAAUGUUCAACAUCUGUUGCAACCUGCCUGAUGCAAUCUUAUCCCGCAAGGGCAUUGGAUAGAAGACUCCAAGAAGAUUGGGCUAGAGAUGCAAGAGAAGGCCUUAGGGUUCUCAUAAGUCUUAAGGUAGAUUUCGGGU
This is an RNA transcript of Glycine soja, 790 nucleotides long. RefSeq lists it as uncharacterized. The transcript is spliced from 3 exons. Lineage: Eukaryota; Viridiplantae; Streptophyta; Magnoliopsida; Fabales; Fabaceae. The record is from RefSeq and is a predicted model, not a curated record.